AUACGGAGGGUGCAAGCGUUGUUCGGAUUUACUGGGCGUAAAGGGCGUGUAGGCGGUCGGCUAAGUCAGAUGUGAAAUCCCUUGGCUUAACCAAGGAACGGCAUUUGAAACUAGCUAACUAGAGUACAGGAGAGGAAAGUGGAAUUCCCAGUGUAGAGGUGAAAUUCAUAGAUAUUGGGAGGAACACCGGUAGCGAAGGCGGCUUUCUGGUCUGAUACUGACGCUGAGACGCGAAAGCGUGGGUAGCAAACAGGAUUAGAUACCCUGGUAGUCCACGCCGUAAACUAUGGGAACUAGGUGUAGGAAGUGUUGACCCUUUCCGUGCCGAGGCUAACGCAUUAAGUUCCCCGCCUGGGGAGUACGGUCGCAAGGCUAAA
Molecule: ribosomal RNA, 377 nt
Filed under: uncultured bacterium
Lineage: Bacteria
Description: bacterial SSU rRNA
Rfam family: Bacterial small subunit ribosomal RNA
Source: RNAcentral